GAGCAGGCGCUGCUAUACAUGCAGUCGAACGCUUCUUUUUCCACCGGAGCUUGCUCCACCGGAAAAAGAGGAGUGGCGAACGGGUGAGUAACACGUGGGUAACCUGCCCAUCAGAAGGGGAUAACACUUGGAAACAGGUGCUAAUACCGUAUAACAAUCAAAACCGCAUGGUUUUGAUUUGAAAGGCGCUUUCGGGUGUCGCUGAUGGAUGGACCCGCGGUGCAUUAGCUAGUUGGUGAGGUAACGGCUCACCAAGGCCACGAUGCAUAGCCGACCUGAGAGGGUGAUCGGCCACAUUGGGACUGAGACACGGCCCAAACUCCUACGGGAGGCAGCAGUAGGGAAUCUUCGGCAAUGGACGAAAGUCUGACCGAGCAACGCCGCGUGAGUGAAGAAGGUUUUCGGAUCGUAAAACUCUGUUGUUAGAGAAGAACAAGGAUGAGAGUAACUGUUCAUCCCUUGACGGUAUCUAACCAGAAAGCCACGGCUAACUACGUGCCAGCAGCCGCGGUAAUACGUAGGUGGCAAGCGUUGUCCGGAUUUAUUGGGCGUAAAGCGAGCGCAGGCGGUUUCUUAAGUCUGAUGUGAAAGCCCCCGGCUCAACCGGGGAGGGUCAUUGGAAACUGGGAGACUUGAGUGCAGAAGAGGAGAGUGGAAUUCCAUGUGUAGCGGUGAAAUGCGUAGAUAUAUGGAGGAACACCAGUGGCGAAGGCGGCUCUCUGGUCUGUAACUGACGCUGAGGCUCGAAAGCGUGGGGAGCAAACAGGAUUAGAUACCCUGGUAGUCCACGCCGUAAACGAUGAGUGCUAAGUGUUGGAGGGUUUCCGCCCUUCAGUGCUGCAGCUAACGCAUUAAGCACUCCGCCUGGGGAGUACGACCGCAAGGUUGAAACUCAAAGGAAUUGACGGGGGCCCGCACAAGCGGUGGAGCAUGUGGUUUAAUUCGAAGCAACGCGAAGAACCUUACCAGGUCUUGACAUCCUUUGACCACUCUAGAGAUAGAGCUUCCCCUUCGGGGGCAAAGUGACAGGGGGUGCAUGGUUGUCGUCAGCUCGUGUCGUGAGAUGUUGGGGUUAAGUCCCGCAACGAGCCGCAACCCUUAUUGUUUAGUUGCCAUCAUUCAGUUUGGCAACUCCUAGCA
RNAcentral lists this ribosomal RNA (1140 nucleotides) under uncultured bacterium. RNAcentral's name for it is "bacterial SSU rRNA". It matches the Rfam family "Bacterial small subunit ribosomal RNA", at positions 37 to 1145 of the family's 1533-position model. The record is from RNAcentral.